RNAcentral lists this ribosomal RNA (253 nucleotides) under uncultured bacterium. RNAcentral describes it as "partial 16S ribosomal RNA". It matches the Rfam family "Bacterial small subunit ribosomal RNA", at positions 524 to 776 of the family's 1533-position model. The record is from RNAcentral.
UACGUAGGGGGCGGGCGUUGUCCGGAAUCAUUGGGCGUAAAGCGCGUGUAGGCGGCUCGGUAAGUCUGCUGUGAAAGUCCAGGGCUCAACCCUGGAAUGCCGGUGGAAACUGUCGAGCUUGAGUCCGGAAGAGGCGAGUGGAAUUCCUGGUGUAGCGGUGAAAUGCGCAGAUAUCAGGAGGAACACCAAUGGCGAAGGCAGCUCGCUGGGACGGUACUGACGCUGAGACGCGAAAGCGUGGGGAGCAAACAGG